RNAcentral lists this ribosomal RNA (253 nucleotides) under uncultured bacterium. Its description in RNAcentral is "partial 16S ribosomal RNA". It matches the Rfam family "Bacterial small subunit ribosomal RNA", at positions 524 to 776 of the family's 1533-position model. The record is from RNAcentral.
UACGUAGGGGGCGAGCGUUGUCCGGAAUGAUUGGGCGUAAAAGGGCGCGUAGGCGGCCUGUUAAGUCUGGAGUGAAGUCCUGCUUUCAAGGUGGGAAUUGCUUUGGAUACUGGCGGGCUGGAGUGCAGGAGAGGUUAGUGGAAUUCCCGGUGUAGCGGUGAAAUGCGUAGAGAUCGGGAGGAACACCAGUGGCGAAGGCGACUAACUGGACUGUAACUGACGCUGAGGCGCGAAAGUGUGGGGAGCAAACAGG